This 2679-nucleotide long non-coding RNA is filed under the name Canis lupus familiaris (dog). RNAcentral describes it as "lncRNA (ENSCAFG00000056095.1)". Lineage: Eukaryota; Metazoa; Chordata; Mammalia; Carnivora; Canidae. The record is from RNAcentral.
UUCAUCUGUGGAAUUUUUUUUUUUUAAGUAGUCUCCAUGCCCAUCAUGGAACCCAGUGUGGGGUUUGAACUCAAUACCCUGAGAUCAAGACCAGAGCUGAGAUCAAGAGUCAGACACUUAACCAACUGAGUCUACCAGGCAUCCCUCAUCUGUGGAAUUUUGAAUGUUUCAUCUAUUUUCUUCUGCAGCCUUUUCAAUUAUUUUUCUGGAAGUGAUGUUCACCAUUUGCAUUUCUGAUCCCUGGUGGUGGUGUCUACUAUCCAUGCUACUCUGACACUCACUCACUGCUGCUCUCCAGUGUCCCAGCUCUGAGGUUGUUCUCCCUUUACCCUUGUGAUUCCUGUCCUUUUUCCUCUCGGAGAUUUCUAGCUAAGGGAAAGGAUGGUCCCUAUUCUCACUAGUCCUAAGGCAGGCUUGGCCUCCUUGGUUUCUUGCAGCCCCUUGAUGUUAAUACUUACUAGCCUUUCCCUUUCUCUUGUAGAUCUCUUUCAAGGUCCCCAGAAAUUGGUUGGAAAGCAACCAGUGUGGACGCUAAGAAUGCCAUAUUCACAAAUAUUUCUCAUUCCACUUGUGCCAACCCGUGGGCCCAGCCAGACCUCAACUGCUGUCUCCCAACUCAGGUGCUCUCUUCCAAGUUGGUGAGGAGUUAUUGAAAACAGGUCAGAAAACUACCCUCAGAACUGCUAUUUUGGGAACUCCAUACCUCUUCACCUGCUCGCAGCUCUCUGUGUUCCAAGUCCUAUAAUGAUCAGGGCAGUUUUAGCCCUUGUGCUAACGCCUCUGUAGACCAGUUGCUUUCACUCUGUUUCCUUAUUACUGCAUGUAUCCUAAUCCCAGCGAGAUUACUAGGAUAGGCAUGCCAUCACCUAGAGAGUGUUGAAGGUUUUGCACCACGCUAGUGCUUUGGCUGAAGAAAUUCAUCAGGGGGCAUGUCUGCAGGGACACUUUAUAUAAGAGAAGAGCAUCUUGUGCCCUGAGUAUGAAUUUGCUAUUAAAAACUAUCAGGGGGAUCCCUGGGUGGUUCAGCGGUUUCACACCUGCCUUUGGCCCAGGGCGCGAUCCUGGAGUCCCAGGAUUGAGUACCACGUCGGGCUCCCUGCAUGGAGCCUGCUUCUCCCUCCUCCUGUGUCUCUGCCUCUCUGUCUCUCUAUGUCUAUCAUAAAUAAAUAAAAAUAAAAAUCUUUAAAAAAAAUUAUCAGGACUGGGAAAAGGCAUAUCGAUUCAGCUCAUCAUCUGAGAGCACCCUGACUUAAGCUGAUUAGAAACGUAUUUGGAGUCCGGAGUGCACACAUUUCUUUACUCAUCCCUUCAGGUCAUAUGCAGUUGGUAUAGAGACUAUUUUGAAUCAGUGCUGGGAGUAUCUGCUUUUGAAUCCUUCCUUGCUCCUUUUUCAAAUCUCCUCGUCCAAAGUACCAGUUUUAUCCUUCCCGUUCCUUUUGUAAUGAAACCAGCUCGUCUCAUCUUUGUGUCUCCCCUGGAAUCGACAUCAGAAAUCUCCUUUUGCCUCUGGAUGUCACAUUCUUCAGAUUGGAAUUUUAAUGACGCUGUGGUGGCGCUGUAAUGUGUCGACUUGUCAAGGGUGAACGGGUUCCUUAAAAUUUCCUUUCCUGGAUGUUGCUGGUUAAGAGGAGAUCAAGAGAAAUUCUUGUGGGUGAUUUGUAAGCGGAUGUGAAGCAGCAGCUGUGUGUGUCUCACAUGCACCACUGACCUGCUGAUUCCUCCUUGGGCCAGUAGUGGGGCCAGCAAUCCUUCACCUUUUGCCAGGCCCUCCAUCAGCUCCUCUGACUCUUGGGCCAGGUGUGUAUACUUAGCUCCCAGGCUUUGUAGGAGACCCCAAUCACCAGGGUCACCCAGUCUGAAACAUGGACAAGGGUUUCAGUUUGUAUUGUGAGUACCAGUUUGCUUUUUUUCUCUGCCACAUUAUGUCUGUCCUUCCUUCCAACUACUUGCCCUGUGGGUUUUAAGCUCCAGAAUCAAAUGUGAAGACAAGCACUUAAUCAGUUCCCUAAAUUCCAGGGGGCCAAAUCCUUGUGAAUAAUACUUAAUACUUGCCUAUUUUUAAAUCCAUAUAUCCGUGUGGCUUUGCCUUGCUAAUAAAAUCCUGACUGAUACUAAUUUGGUAGCAGAAAAGUUUCUAGAAGAACAGAAUUUUAAGAAUGAUUACUUUGGGGGUCCUGGGUGGCUCAGUCCCUUAAGCAUCUGUCUAUGGCUCAGGUAUCAGGUAUCAUGACCUGAGAGUCCUGGGAUCAAGCCCUGCAUUGGGCUCCCUGCUGAGCUUCUCCCUCUUGCUCUGCUGCUUCCCCUGCUUGUGCUUUUCUCUCUCUGUCAAAUAAAUAAAAUAAAAUAAAAUAAAAUAAAAUAAAAUAAAAUAAAAUAAUAAAAUAAAUUAUUCCAAAUUGGUUCUGGGUUUUUCUGAAUUGGUUCUUUGAUCUUAUUAGAUCUGGAAGUAUUAAGGACUCUGUUUCCAGUGGUUAAGAGGGUCCUGAUAUGCUGUGCCAUGCAAUAGUAAAAUGGUCACAUAAAUUAUCACCUUUAGAUAUUUGUAAUCAAGCAACUAUAGAAGGUAAAGCUCUUGGUGACUAAGCAUCGGCUGUCAUAAACACUUUUUCUAACAAUAAGAGUGUAAUGAUAUGGGUUGAUUGAUUGUAACUGUGCUGGGGAAAUUGGGGGAAAAUAUAU